Molecule: ribosomal RNA, 433 nt
Filed under: uncultured bacterium
Lineage: Bacteria
Description: partial 16S ribosomal RNA
Rfam family: Bacterial small subunit ribosomal RNA
Source: RNAcentral
AACGAACGCUGGCGGAAGGACGAAAAUAGGAAAGUAGAAAGAGACCUUCGGGUCUAGUGGCGCACGGGUGCGUAACGCGUGGGAACCUGCCCUUAGGUUCGGAAUAACUCCCCGAAAGGGGUGCUAAUACCGGAUAAUGUCUUCGGACCAAAGAUUUAUCGCCUUUGGAUGGGCCCGCGUUGGAUUAGCUAGUUGGUAGGGUAAAAGCCUACCAAGGCGACGAUCCAUAGCUGGUCUGAGAGGAUGAUCAGCCACACUGGGACUGAGACACGGCCCAGACUCCUACGGGAGGCAGCAGUGGGGAAUAUUGGACAAUGGGCGAAAGCCUGAUCCAGCAAUGCCGCGUGAGUGAUGAAGGCCUUAGGGUUGUAAAGCUCUUUUACCCGGGAUGAUAAUGACAGUACCGGGAGAAUAAGCUCCGGCUAACUCCGUA